GAUGAACGCUGGCGGCGUGCCUAAUACAUGCAAGUCGAGCGAACAGACGAGGAGCUUGCUCCUCUGACGUUAGCGGCGGACGGGUGAGUAACACGUGGAUAACCUACCUAUAAGACUGGGAUAACUUCGGGAAACCGGAGCUAAUACCGGAUAAUAUAUUGAACCGCAUGGUUCAAUAGUGAAAGACGGUUUUGCUGUCACUUAUAGAUGGAUCCGCGCCGCAUUAGCUAGUUGGUAAGGUAACGGCUUACCAAGGCAACGAUGCGUAGCUGACCUGAGAGGGGGAGCGGCCACAGUGGAAGGGAGACAGGGCCCAGCCCCCUAGGGGAGGGAGCAGGAGGGAUUUUUCCGAAAGGGGCGAAGGCCUGAGGGGACACCGCCGCGUGAGAGAUAAAGGUCUUGGGAUCGUAAAACUCUUUUAUGGGGAAAAAAAAAAUGUGUAAUUAACAAUGCACUUCUUGACGGUCCUUAAACAAAAAGCCACGGCUAACUCCGUG
This 497-nucleotide ribosomal RNA is filed under the name uncultured bacterium. RNAcentral describes it as "partial 16S ribosomal RNA". It matches the Rfam family "Bacterial small subunit ribosomal RNA", at positions 28 to 507 of the family's 1533-position model. The record is from RNAcentral.